RNAcentral lists this ribosomal RNA (421 nucleotides) under uncultured bacterium. RNAcentral's name for it is "partial 16S ribosomal RNA". It matches the Rfam family "Bacterial small subunit ribosomal RNA", at positions 360 to 773 of the family's 1533-position model. The record is from RNAcentral.
AAUAUUGGACAAUGGGGGCAACGCUGAUCCAGCCAUGCCGCGUGUGUGAAGAAGGCCUUUUGGUUGUAAAGCACUUUAUGCAGUGAAGAAGACUCCAUGGUUAAUACCCAUGGACGAUGACAUUAGCUGUAUAUGAAGCACCGGCUAACUCGGUGCCAGAAGCAGCGGUAAUAAAUAGGGUGCAAUCGUUAAUCGGAAUAACUGGGCGUAAAGCGAGCGUAGGUGGCUUGAAAAGUCAGAUGUGAAAGCCCCGGGCUUAACCUGGGAACGGCAUCUGAUACUGUUAGGCUGGAGUAGGUGAGAGGAAGGUAGAAUUCCAGGUGUAGCGGUGAAAUGCGUAGAGAUCUGGAGGAAUACCGAUGGCGAAGGCAGCCUUCUGGCAUCAUACUGACACUGAGGUUCGAAAGCGUGGGUAGCAAAC